AUUUUUACGAAGUACUUUCCACAUGCUCUAUCUCACCGAAUCCGCCACAACAAUCGUUUGAAUGCUGGCUCUGCCCUCGCUGGUAUGACUCCCAGCAAGUUCCUUUUUCUUCCAGCCUUAUUCCUCCUUUGUAACAAGGAGUCUUCCAAGACACAACCAACAUCAGUGUCACUGUAGCACUAAAUGAGAUAACACGUGCGAAGCAUUUAAUAGUGCCUGCCACAGUAAUAAUCACUCGAUAGCCAUUAGCUUUUGCUCAUAUUGUUGUCACGUCCACAAACACCACAACUCCAGAGAAUCAAGUGCAUGAGUUGAGGAUCUGGGAAUAUGCAUGCUCUGGAAAGGUCUGCAUGCUUCUGUUGCUUUGAUGGGAAAUUUUCCUAAACCAGAUUCUUUCAAGCGUGAGACUCUGUUGUGGAGUCUAAGAGUUGAUGAGUGGAUUUUGGUAGCAACUCUUCAUGUCAACAGCAUGUGCUGAAGACUAUAGAGAAGCCGUAUUCUGGUUAUUUUUCCAUUCGACAAGUCCUUCUCCAACACCUCCUUUGAGGCAGGCAUUGUAGUGGGAGCUAUGAAUACAGAAGGAAAACAAGAUAGUCUUGGAUAUUAUCGUCAGGUUGUGAUAAAGAAGAAAAAAAUGUAUUCUUCAUGAAGGUCAACAUCUUCCUGUGCAGAAGCACAAUAUAGGAAUUAGAUGUGCUUUACUGCAUAGAAUGAGAGAAACUAUGCCCGGAUUUGUAGGGCCCAUAUUUUUAAGGACAGUCUUUCUCUCAGCGAAGUCUAUGUGCGUGUAUGUGUGGUUGUGCAUUCCCGUGUACACGUAUAAACACAUACACACACCCUCCAAUAAUGGACCUGAAUAAUUGACUAGUUCUUGCUCUCAUUUCUUCCAGUUGACGUUGCUCCUGAUUCUCCAACAGCUUCCCCAACAGAGCAAAGUAACGUCACUGCUGUUACUUCUAGAAGAGCUUGUCUGAAAGAUGAAAGUAAGUUUUUGUACAUGUUUGCCUUUAUGUCAUGUGACAGCGUUUUUUUCCUCUGGCUAGACGUCACUUUUGUAAUUUCUUGGUUUAAGGAAGAAACAGUAGAAUGGUGGGAUGAUGCAGAAUAGAUUGAGUGAUAUUUUAAAUCAAUCCAUCAUUUCCUAGGUGUCAUCUUUACACAGUAAAUAUUGGUUUAGGGAUGAGACGACUGUAAAUUAAAGGGUGCAGUGAUAGGCGCUGAAUUAUUUCCACAAUGGAUUUAAUUCAUUUGUGCAGCUUUUAUUUCUGAGAAAUGAGGAAUAUGUGAUAUCAGGGUGCUUCAAGAUUUCUUUUUUAAGUCUUUGGUCCUUGCAAGUAGCUAAUGACAUUAGGUGACAUGUACUGAGAUCUUCCUCUACAGAAGGCAUUAUGGUGGAUUUGGCAUGCAUUUUCUUGUUUAAUGCUUAUCAUACUCCUGUGAAGUGGUACAAUAAUUUUUUUCCCAUUUCACAGAUGAAAGCAAAGACCCAAAAUUAAUUGAGUCUGUGGCACCAUGCCACGCAGCUGGAGCUUGGGUUUCAACACGGCCCUUUGAAUCAAGAGUUCAUACACUUACUCAGUUCUCUCUUCUUCCUCUAAGAUAUAGUUCUAGAGCAAUAAACCCCCAAGCCAAGGCCCUGAGACGUGAUGGACACAUGGUGGGGGUUGGGUAAGGGCAUGGCUUUUGCUGUCUCACAGGCUGGACUUGAACCCCAGUUGUUUUAAUGGUUAGUUGCAUCAAUAUAGGAAAAUUAAUUACAUUUUGUGAGCGACACUUUCCUUGUCUGCCAACCAGAAUUAAUUACAACUGGCUUAGUUAUUGAACAGAUAAGUUCACCUAUGUGGAAGAUCUAGGAUUGGGUUUCUCAUUUAGCCAGCACAGUCCUUAUUUUUGGCCCUUUCUCCUUAUAUGUGUACAAAGAAAGUGACUAGAAUCACCAGUCACUGGUGCUCUAGCCCUGCUGAUCUUCCCUCCAUUUCCAAUAUCAAGGGGACUCUGGACCUCAGCUAACACCUUCCCUGACUAAGGGCAAGGAGUUAUGAGCACAUCUCCUCUGAGAUCCCUUUUCACAACAAGUGCUAAUGAUUCUGGAGUUCUGAUUCUUGAAGAUAAAACAUGUGAAAGGGGAAUUUCCACAGGAAGAGAUUCGGCCUUGUUCAUUGAAUAGUCAGUCUGACUCACCACCAUUGUCAUUACUUACUUCUUGACGUCAUAUAUUUCUUGCCAAACUUCGAAGGAUAUUAAGUGCAAUUAUCCUAUACCACAAUGAGAGACAUUUAGGAAGGACAGGUGAGUGAGCCAUGAUAUCCUAAAGUUUUGGAGAAUUUGGAUUAACCACUCUCUUCUGCUUUAUAUAAUACUAAUUACAUAUAAACAAUUGUAUGAUGUUCUAAGUGAAUUUAGAAAAGGUUGUUGAUUGACAUGACCUGGUGAGUGGCUCCUCAGUUGCCUUGUUGUUGUCUGUGGUGGUUAUGUUGGUAGGUAGACGUUUACUUUUGGGUUCUGGUGGUGCAGGGUAUGACUACAAGGUAGGCCAUUUGAAAUAAAUAACUGUCACCAGCCUCCCAUUAAUAUGACCUUUCUUUCAAAAGAACAGGCGAAACUAAUCAUCUGACUUCUCUUAGACCCCCUGCAGCUCACCAGCACCUUGGCCUAUUACAGCUACCUCCUGCUCCUCCUCGUGAGCGCGGUCUACUUUGCCAUCAUCACCAUCUGUCUGUGUAGGAGAACAGCCGUCUCUGGCAAUGGAAAGAAUUCAUAACAGAUGGGGGGACAAAGAAGUCAACUUUAGUUCAUCAUUUAUUGUCCCUAGAAGUGUCUACUGCGAAUCUACCUUGGCUUUCUCUCUGGGUUUGGGUUAUUCCAGUUCAAAAGUGUGCUUUGCUGUUAUGCCAUUAUUGUGUAAUGGUUUUUCAAAACACUGGGCAAAUAGAAAUUUUUUCUCUAUGACAGCAAUGAACUCUGCCAUUACUCAGGGGCAGGGCCGUGGGGUCGUCCUUUAGCACCACUCUCUCCAUGAUCUCCAUCAGCUCCUCCAGCAAACUGAAUGACCAUGCCUUCUGAGUACAGACAACAUGCAACUCUACUCACGUCCCUUAGGGCCAUUUAACCAGAUGACCACCUUGGAGCCUUCCAUUUUACACACGCAGAAGUCACCAUCAUUGUCACUUAAAUUCUAUACUUCGUUUUUCAUAAUGGGCACAAUAAAAAAAAUGAAAACUCUA
Molecule: long non-coding RNA, 3224 nt
Organism: Equus asinus (donkey)
Lineage: Eukaryota; Metazoa; Chordata; Mammalia; Perissodactyla; Equidae
Source: Ensembl